Small nuclear RNA from Sarcophilus harrisii (Tasmanian devil), 104 nucleotides. The record is from Ensembl. NCBI's taxonomy places the organism in Eukaryota, Metazoa, Chordata, Mammalia, Dasyuromorphia, Dasyuridae.
GCGCUCUUGGGCAGUUCAUAUACUAAAAUUGGAAUGGUACAGAGAUUAAUAUUGACCCCUGUUGUAAGGAUGAUGUGAAAAUUUCUGAACUCUUAAAUUUUUUU